ACGUCUCUUAGUUAAGGGACAAAAACAGAACUAAGAGGCGUCCACAUGGCAAAGUGGGUGUUUUUUUUCUCUCUCUCAUUUCCCGAUUUCAUCGAGAAACAGAGAGAAACCGGAGGGGCGAUCGUUUGAUUCCAUCAUUCAAUGGCCGGAAAAGUGCUAUCUUCGGCGCCUUUCAACGCGCCGCCGAUGAUUGUCCAAGAUGCUGACCCGUUACGUUUCCGGGUCGGUGAAGAAGACCCUUAAACCCGUGAAUUCGCAGCUUUUAUCGGCGACCACCACUGGUAUUUCGCGGCAGCAGCAGCAGCCGCCGCAGCUAAUCCACACCUCAUCUAGAAUUCCGUCAGAAUUUCUACUCGGAGGAACCCAUUAUCGGAAACCCUAACGACAGUGGUGGAUCCGACGGCGAAGAUAACGUUGACGUGGAAGAAGAAGACGAGGAUGAUGACAUAGACAGAAAUGAAUGUGACAUCGGCAUGAACAAAGAAGCUGGUGAAAUUUGUAUCAUCAGAUUGAUACUUUUUAAGUUGGAAACCAUUGGAUUGGUAUUGAUCAUGCUUGCGUUUAAUCUAUAGCCUAUUUUGUUGUUAAAUUUGAUUUUCUUUGCACAAUUUUAGAGGGUCUUUGAUGGCUGAUGCUAUGAUUUUACCUUGAGGACACACUUUUGGAGCUGGAGGAAUUGAACAAGUGAAACAGAUGGGACAGAGUUUUGUUUCUGCUAUUUGCAUUUGUCUCUUUUCUUUCGCUUAUGAAGCUAUUUUCCGUUGUGUUCUCUUAGAAAGCUUGCUGCAUAUGUUCACAACCAGUCUCAGAAGAAUCGAUAACCCCAAAUCUCAGGAGUGUUCAUGGAGUAUGAGAGGAAAUUUGUUUGGUGUGUGUGAUGGGAUUCUCUGUUUGGAAAAGAUGCAAGGAAAUUUCCAAAAGGAAAGAUAGUGAUGCUGCAGAAGCAGAUGCGUCAUUAUUAUAACAACAAUUCACGAAUCUUCAUUUGAUUUGCCUUAUCAGUCCAAUGUGAUUUUAGUUUGGCUAGAGUUGCAGACAAGUCAAUUGGCACAUAAGAGUUAAGUGAGCAUUUUAGAUGUUAUGAUCACAAGAUCAGGCUGACACAAGUUUAGGUGACUAAAAUCACUAAGAAGAUUAAGUUCUAGAAGAGGUUUUGAGUUUGAAUGUGUUAGUAACAAUCUUAUGAUUAAUCAAGUUGAAGAGCUUCUCAGAAAACAAGCAAAGUUCUGAUGGCUUCAAUGCACUUCCCAAACGGUAAUUGUAAAGAUACAAGUUCGCUUGUGAUACUCCUAGAUAAAACUUUUAAGUCUUUCACGAAACUCUCAAUGUUUAACAUAUUUGCCUUUGCAAGUAUUUUUAUGUUUGAUCUUAAUUGAGAACAAAAUGCCGUCAUUUUAUGUUUUA
This is a long non-coding RNA of Arabidopsis lyrata subsp. lyrata, 1404 nucleotides long. RefSeq lists it as uncharacterized. NCBI's taxonomy places the organism in Eukaryota, Viridiplantae, Streptophyta, Magnoliopsida, Brassicales, Brassicaceae. The record is from RefSeq and is a predicted model, not a curated record. The transcript is spliced from 2 exons.